This 2002-nucleotide long non-coding RNA is filed under the name Nicotiana tabacum (common tobacco). RNAcentral describes it as "long non-coding RNA (NTAB_LNC006586)". Lineage: Eukaryota; Viridiplantae; Streptophyta; Magnoliopsida; Solanales; Solanaceae. The record is from RNAcentral.
CCCGUUGAUUUCUUUUCACAACACACUAAGUUUUAGCUUUCAAGAAUUCCAAUAGGGACACAAGCCUUCAAAAAAAUGAGCCCAACAAUAGUAUUUCAUCUAUGGUGCAACACUGACACUAAUGUGGUAUGCAACAAAAUAUAAAGUGUGAAAUUAAUCAUGAAUCGUACAGAUUAUUGGACUUAAUUCGAUUUGCAAAAUAAUUAAUCAUGAAUCAUGUAAGUUAUCAACUCAACUUGAUUUACAAGAUAAUUAACAAUGAAUCAUAUAAAUUAUCGAACUCAACUUUAAUUACAAGAUUUUCUAGCAAAUUCUAGAUUAAGGCUACGACCAUACUAGAUUUCAAAAUAGAUACAUGAUCUGGGCUCCUGUGGCUUUCCAAUCCCUCAACAAGUCUUGAGUUUACAAAGGCACCUACAAAACUGCUUUUCAAAUCAGCAUCUUGUCCAUCACAUGUCAAAACAAUUGAAGCAACAAGUGAGGAUCCAAAUGAUUUCGAAACUUUCUUUCUUUUAUUUUAGGAUUUCAUAUGUAAAAGGGGAAUUGAGAGACUUUAUAACAAAUAACAUCUAUCUGUAUGAUGCUUCAAUAAUUAGAGACUUGCAAAUAGCACAAGUAUGGCAAUUAAGCAUUAUAAAUUCAUGAAAAAGCUAAACUUAAAUAUGACAUGAACAUAUCAAGUUUUACCCAUAAUAGCAAAUGGAGAAUGGUAAGUGGAUAUUUAUAUACCUAGCAGCAAAGAAACAGAAAGAAAUGGCCAAAUAUGAUCAAAUUUCGAAAGCAAAACCAGCUUGAUUGAAUAGGAGUAAUCAGUAGCAGUAAUCAACAAAGAAACGAGCUCAACUUCAGCAGCUUCUAAAAUCCAGAAAAUGUUUCCUAACACCCUCCUUAUGAUCUCUUUCCUUGUUUUUUCUACUCUCUUUUUGUGUUUUUGUUUUUCUUGAAAUUUAAAUUCCUAGACCUAUGAGUGAAUAAGAAUAAGAAUGGAUUUUUCAGAAUCAGUUCUCUAUUAUAAAAAUGCAGAUUAUGUAGAUAAGAGAAUGACUAAGACAGACGAGUGUGAGUGUAUGUGUGUGUGUGUGUGUCUAUAUAUAUAUAUAUAUAUAUAUUGAAUGAAUGAGAGCCCGUGAGAAAGGGAAUCUAGCAGUGUGAAAUCAGGGGGAAUGAGAGAGGGGAGGAGAAUAUUUGUAACUGAAAAUGCCAGUUGCCUUUCUAUCGUUAAUUCUUUUCCCUUAUUCUCCUUUUCUUUUAUUUAAUUCUUUCCAAACCCGAGCCCUUCUUUCUUUUGCAAAAAUGGACCUUUCUAUUCCUUUCAUAAACCAAAUUGGGCCUGGGUUGGGUGCCCAUGGUCAAAUGGCCCAUAACAAACCAGCCCAAACGAAAUGAAAGAAAUCGGAAGAUCAAACAGAUAAAAGACAAAAAGCAAGCAGUUAUAUUUUCACAUUUCAAAUUAAAGUGAUUUUGAUAAUGCAACUAACCUAAUCAAACAAAAUAAACAUUUUAAUAAUUAAUCACAAUUUAGAAAUUUUAUAGAAAAGGGAGAAGGUGAAAUAAAGAAAACGAGGAAGGAAUUACCUAAAUAGGCCUCUAUUUGGAAUCCAUCGGUCAUACUGGGAAUUGAACUUAUUAUCAAUUGACUGCUCUUAUAAAGACCAAUCAACUGAUGUUGAUUUUGAAUUCACAAGGCUAAGCUUAGAGAAAAAGUCAAUGAUAGGAGCUAAAUAGGUUCUGAUGAAUCUAAGAUCUAAAAAUCGAGGAAUUGUAGUUUUUUUAGGGAAAUCUGUAAGUGGAUUAGUGGUGAGGGGAGGUUGAAUAUUGUAUGGUGAGAGUUUGGGUGUGUUUGAGGGUUGUGUCGUUGACAGGGGUGGCUUAGGAAAGGAAAGUUACUAGGGUUAGAUAUUUUGAGAGAGAUGAGUGAAAUGGAAGGGUGUUUUGGGUUUUGGGGAUGGCUUUGGAUAAUUAUAGCGAUGAGGAUGGGGAGUUCCUGGCCGUAGGACCAUAU